This 477-nucleotide ribosomal RNA is filed under the name uncultured bacterium. RNAcentral describes it as "bacterial SSU rRNA". It matches the Rfam family "Bacterial small subunit ribosomal RNA", at positions 30 to 502 of the family's 1533-position model. The record is from RNAcentral.
AUUGAACGCUGGCGGCAUGCCUUACACAUGCAAGUCGAACGGCAGCACGGGUGCUUGCACCUGGUGGCGAGUGGCGAACGGGUGAGUAAUAUAUCGGAACGUACCUUAUCGUGGGGGAUAACGCAGCGAAAGCUGCGCUAAUACCGCAUACGCCCUGAGGGGGAAAGCGGGGGACCGUAAGGCCUCGCGCGAUUAGAGCGGCCGAUAUCUGAUUAGCUUGUUGGUGGGGUAAAGCCCACCAAGGCGACGAUCAGUAGCUGGUCUGAGAGGACGAUCAGCCACACUGGGACUGAGACACGGCCCAGACUCCUACGGGAGGCAGCAGUGGGGAAUUUUGGACAAUGGGGGCAACCCUGAUCCAGCAAUGCCGCGUGAGUGAAGAAGGCCUCGGGUUGUAAAGCUCUUUCGGCUGGAGAAAUCGCACAGGCUAAUACUCUGUGUGGAUGACGGUACCAGCACAAGAAGCACCGGCUAACU